GCCGAAAUAGCUCAGAUGGGAGAGCGUUAGACUGAAGAUCUAAAGGUCUGUGGUUCAAUCCCGGGUUUCGGCA
Molecule: transfer RNA, 73 nt
Filed under: Danionella translucida
Lineage: Eukaryota; Metazoa; Chordata; Actinopteri; Cypriniformes; Danionidae
Also listed under: 1 other name
Rfam family: tRNA
About the family: Transfer RNA (tRNA) molecules are approximately 80 nucleotides in length. Their secondary structure includes four short double-helical elements and three loops (D, anti-codon, and T loops). Further hydrogen bonds mediate the characteristic L-shaped molecular structure. tRNAs have two regions of fundamental functional importance: the anti-codon, which is responsible for specific mRNA codon recognition, and the 3' end, to which the tRNAs corresponding amino acid is attached (by aminoacyl-tRNA synthetases). tRNAs cope with the degeneracy of the genetic code in two manners: having more than one tRNA (with a specific anti-codon) for a particular amino acid; and 'wobble' base-pairing, i.e. permitting non-standard base-pairing at the 3rd anti-codon position.
Source: Rfam by way of RNAcentral